UAAAGGAAAAAAAUAGCGGAAUAGGUUUGAUGUUCGUGGAAGAGGGAAGAGAAGAAGAUAAUAGGGAAAGCCAGAAGGGAGGUGAGAAGGUAAUAGGAGAAGAAGGAAGAAUAGGGAAUAGAAGGAGGAGGAUAAGUGUGUCUCACCCUUCUGUUUCUCUUCUUCAGGUUCUCCGCGGCCCUGUUUCUCUUCUGCCCAGGUAAGCAAGACUCCGGCCCAAUUAUCUGACGCCACAGGUAUAAAGAUUUCUCCGGGCGAGGCAGCAGGUACACACACACACACACACACACAGGAUUGGUAAUGGGACUGGUGGAUAGGGGAAGGGUUGGUAAUGGGACAGGUGGAUAGGGGAAGGGUUGGUAAUGGGACUGGUGGAUAGCGGAAGGAUUGGUAAUGGGACUGGUGGAUAGGGGAAGGGUUGGUAAUGGGACUGGUGGAUAGGGGAAGGGUUGGUAAUGGGACUGGUGGAUAGGGGAAGGACUGGUAAUGGGACUGGUGGAUAGGGGAAGGAUUGGUAAUGGGACUGGUGGAUAGGGGAAGGGUUGGUAAUGGGACUGGUGGAUAGGGGAAGGGUUGGUAAUGGGACUGGUGGAUAGGGGAAGGAUUGGUAAUGGGACUGGUGGAUAGGGGAAGGGUUGGUAAUGGGACAGGUGGAUAGGGGAAGGGUUGGUAAUGGGACUGGUGGAUAGCGGAAGGAUUGGUAAUGGGACUGGUGGAUAGGUGAAGGGUUGGUAAUGGGACUGGUGGAUAGGGGAAGGGUUGGUAAUGGGACUGGUGGAUAGGGGAAAGACUGGUAAUGGGACUGGUGGAUAGGGGAAGGAUUGGUAAUGGGACUGGUGGAUAGGGGAAGGGUUGGUAAUGGGACUCGUGGAUAGGGGAAGGGUUGGUAAUGGGACUGGUGGAUAGGGGAAGGAUUGGUAAUGGGACUGGUGGAUAGGGGAAGGAUUGGUAAUGGGACUGGUGGAUAGGGGAAGAGUUGGUAAUGGGACUGGUGGAUAGGGGAAGGGUUGGUAAUGGGACUGGUGGAUAGUGGAAGGAUUGGUAAUGGGACUGGUGGAUAGGGGAAGGGUUGGUAAUGGGACUGGUGGAUAGGGGAAGGAUUGGUAAUGGGACUGGUGGAUAGGGGAAGGGUUGGUAAUGGGACUGGUGGAUAGGGGAAGGGUUGGUAAUGGGACUGGUGGAUAGGGGAAGGAUUGGUAAUGGGACUGGUUAAUAGGGGAAGGGUUGGUAAUGGGACAGGUGGAUAGGGGAAGGGUUGGUAAUGGGAGUGGUGGAUAGGGGAAGGAUU
Long non-coding RNA from Eriocheir sinensis (Chinese mitten crab), 1288 nucleotides. RefSeq lists it as uncharacterized. The record is from RefSeq and is a predicted model, not a curated record. The transcript is spliced from 3 exons. NCBI's taxonomy places the organism in Eukaryota, Metazoa, Arthropoda, Malacostraca, Decapoda, Varunidae.